Suricata suricatta (meerkat) is the source of this 597-nucleotide long non-coding RNA. RefSeq lists it as uncharacterized. The transcript is spliced from 2 exons. NCBI's taxonomy places the organism in Eukaryota, Metazoa, Chordata, Mammalia, Carnivora, Herpestidae. The record is from RefSeq and is a predicted model, not a curated record.
CGUGCUCACGACGGAGCCUCCGUUCAUGCUUCCAUUCACCGGCUCCAAGCCGGACACCACUCAGUGCUGCCAUGGGUCAGGUUACAUCGUCUUGGAGUGGCUUUCUGGCUGGCUGCGGUCCCGAUACAGUUGUCCCCACCUGCAUGCAACCACACUUCAGAAGCAUCAAACCCUGCAGAAAGGGGGGCAGCAGCUUGGAAGGAAGCCCUGGAGGCAAGAGACAAGCACUCCCUGAACCCCAGGAUUCACAUGGUGGGAGCCCCCCAGGGAGGAGAACCAGGCUUAUCAGUAAAGCUCCCAAAGCAGAAGUCCAUUGCAGAGCCGGACUCAGCUUUUCCGGUUGUCGGAUGGAUCACAGAGGGGGCUGCUCUCCCCCAGGCACUCUCACUGGCUCACUGGGGAAGGUGGGAGUGAAACACACAGACGUCACGCCUCUGUCGGACUCUAAAUGUGAAGGAGUUUUCUGAACCCCAUAAAUAAUUUAUUUUGCUUCUAUUUCCCUUUUUAUGUAUGCCUCAGAAUUAUAUAUGAUGAGAACCUAUGUCUGAGUCAAAAAGCGUCCCUUCGGGAAGCAUAAAAUAAAUGUUCUCGUGAUAA